This 253-nucleotide ribosomal RNA is filed under the name uncultured bacterium. RNAcentral describes it as "partial 16S ribosomal RNA". It matches the Rfam family "Bacterial small subunit ribosomal RNA", at positions 524 to 776 of the family's 1533-position model. The record is from RNAcentral.
UACGAGGGGGGCGAGCGUUGUUCGGAAUUAUUGGGCGUAAAGGGCGCGUAGGCGGUUGGGUAAGUCUUGUGUGAAAUCUUCAGGCUCAACUCGAAGUCUGCACGAGAAACUAUCUGGCUUGAGUGUGGGAGAGGUGAGUGGAAUUCCUGGUGUAGCGGUGAAAUGCGUAGAUAUCAGGAGGAACACCUGUGGCGAAAGCGGCUCACUGGACCACAACUGACGCUGAGGCGCGAAAGCUAGGGGAGCAAACAGG